UCCGCUGCCUCUGAGCUGCUACUUAGAUCUGGUCUGUUUCUACCUCUGCUGGACCAGAAGUUUGCAUUAACGCCCCCACCCCAUCCUGCAAGACCGGCGCUUCCAACCAAGGGCUCUCUCCUCUGAACCUAGAACCUGCUUGGAAAUCGAGUAUUUCCUCUAUGCCCAGGCAGAAAUGACUUUACCCCUGUGCCACUUAUUUUGGCCUGGAGCACUAAGGAGCCAUACUACACCCAAUGCCAGAGG
RNAcentral lists this long non-coding RNA (246 nucleotides) under Homo sapiens (human). Its description in RNAcentral is "HSALNT0105003". Lineage: Eukaryota; Metazoa; Chordata; Mammalia; Primates; Hominidae. The record is from RNAcentral.